Non-coding RNA from Poecilia reticulata (guppy), 417 nucleotides. The record is from RefSeq and is a predicted model, not a curated record. NCBI's taxonomy places the organism in Eukaryota, Metazoa, Chordata, Actinopteri, Cyprinodontiformes, Poeciliidae.
GAGCAACUGGUGAGAGGACGGAGGCUAACCGCCACCAAGCAACUGGACGUUUCAGGGAGGAUGAGAAACUCUGAGCUGAAGCUGCUCUGGGGACAUCGGCUGAUUCCACAUUUAUCCAGGGAGUCUGUUUGAGCCAGAUCAUGGAAACAUUCAGCAGAACCAGCUGCUAACACAAACUGCAGCUUUGACAGUAUCAGUGCGAUUCACCUAAAGACAGCUGUCCACGUAUAUUCAGAGUCUUUAAAAUGACUUCAUAAAACAUAGUAAAAAGGAGUCAUGCAUGUUUUAUGAUGCACCACCUGGAUGGCUGUGUUUAUUCAGCGAACCAGCAGGAAGUUCACAGUUUUAGAGCCAAGRACUGACUUUAUGCCAUCUAGAUCUGACUUUAUGUAUCAAAAUAGAUGCACUUCAAAUGUU